Molecule: ribosomal RNA, 487 nt
Filed under: uncultured bacterium
Lineage: Bacteria
Description: bacterial SSU rRNA
Rfam family: Bacterial small subunit ribosomal RNA
Source: RNAcentral
UACGAGUUUGAUCAUGGCUCAGAAUCAACGCUGGCGGCGUGCCUCAGACAUGCAAGUCGAACGAUUAAAGCUCUCUUCGGAGAGUGCAUAGAGUGGCGCACGGGUGAGUAACACGUAAGUAAUCUACCCUCGAGUGGGGAAUAACGUCCGGAAACGGACGCUAAUACCGCAUAAUGCAGCGGCACCGCAAGGUGACAGUUGUUAAAGAUUUAUCGCUUGAGGAGGAGCUUGCGGCAGAUUAGCUAGUUGGUAAGGUAAUGGCUUACCAAGGCUACGAUCUGUAACCGGUCUUAGAGGACGGUCGGUCACACUGACACUGAAUAACGGGUCAGACUCCUACGGGAGGCAGCAGUCGGGAAUUUUGGGCAAUGGGCGAAAGCCUGACCCAGCAACGCCGCGUGAAGGAUGAAGUAUUUCGGUAUGUAAACUUCGAAAGAAUAGGAAGAAUAAAUGACGGUACUAUUUAUAAGGUCCGGCUAACUACGUG